AUUAGCUGGUUGGUGAGGUAACGGCCCACCAAGGCGACGAUGCGUAGCCGACCUGAGAGGGUGAUCGGCCACAUUGGGACUGAGAUACGGCCCAGACUCCUACGGGAGGCAGCAGUGGGGAAUAUUGGGCAAUGGAGGAAACUCUGACCCAGCAAUGCCGCGUGAAUGAAGAAGGUCUUCGGAUUGUAAAGUUCUUUAGUCAGGGAAGAAGUCAAUGACGGUACCUGAAGAAUAAGCUCCGGCUAACUACGUGCCAGCAGCCGCGGUAAUACGUAGGGAGCAAGCGUUGUUCGGAAUGACUAGGCGUAAAGGGUGCGUAGGCGGUUGUACAAGUUAGAAGUGAAAUACCCAGGGCUUAACUCGGGUGCUGCUUCUAAAACUGUAUGACUUGAGUGCAGGAGAGGUAAGCGGAAUUCCUAGUGUAGCGGUGAAAUGCGUAGAUAUUAGGAGGAACACCAGUGGCGAAGGCGGCUUACUGGACUGUAACUGACGUUGAGGCUCGAAAGCGUGGGGAGCAAACAGGAUUAGAUACCCUGGUAGUCCACGCCGUAAACGAUG
This 558-nucleotide ribosomal RNA is filed under the name uncultured bacterium. RNAcentral describes it as "bacterial SSU rRNA". It matches the Rfam family "Bacterial small subunit ribosomal RNA", at positions 240 to 811 of the family's 1533-position model. The record is from RNAcentral.